This 397-nucleotide ribosomal RNA is filed under the name uncultured bacterium. RNAcentral's name for it is "bacterial SSU rRNA". It matches the Rfam family "Bacterial small subunit ribosomal RNA", at positions 28 to 429 of the family's 1533-position model. The record is from RNAcentral.
GACGAGCGCUGGCGGCGUGCUUAACACAUGCAAGUCGAGCGGUAAGGCCCUUUCGGGGGUACACGAGCGGCGGACGGGUGAGUAACACGUGGGUGACCUGCCCUUAGCUCUGGGAUAAGCCUGGGAAACUGGGUCUAAUACCGGAUAUGACUCCAUGACGCAUGUUGUGGGGUGGAAAGCCUUGUGCGGCUAGGGAUGGGCCUGCGGCCUAUCAGCUUGUUGGUGGGGUGANGGCCUACCAAGGCGACGACGGGUAGCCGGCCUGAGAGGGCGACCGGCCACACUGGGACUGAGACACGGCCCAGACUCCUACGGGAGGCAGCAGUGGGGAAUCUUGCGCAAUGGGCGAAAGCCUGACGCAGCGACGCCGCGUGGGGAUGACGGCCUCGGUUGUAAC